CCCUACCAUGUUUUAACGCUACUCAAGGUCUAUGGCUGGGAAAGGCCACUUGUUUUUCUUCAGUUAAUGCUGAGACUGUUUGUCUGCCAGAGACUCUCCAAAAUCAAGAAAAUAUUUCAAGGAAACGCCACAUGGAGAGAACAUGCAGGACAAGUGAUGAGAAUAAUCUUGUUCUGAAAAACCCCCUGAAGACAAGCUUGCUAACAGCUUGGAAACCUGGUUUCCAAACAGCACCUCUGACUGACUGUCUGGAAAUCAUCCUACCCUCUCUGAAUCUUGCAACAGGCGUCUCCAACUGACAUCUUUCACUGCAUCACGAGGCAGUAGCUCCUCUGAGUCACUUUCCAGCUGGGACUGGGUCUGCUCAGUCCAGCCACUCUGCCUCUCCCACCCCUGCUGCAGCACCACCAUUACCCACUUUUUACUUUUUUCUGAUUUCUGUAGAACAGCCUGGUCCCUCAUAGACUCGAAUUCUCUCACCACCAUGACACUGGGCUAGGCAAGCUCUCUCCUGGCCUGCAGCACCUUGGUAUUCUCAGCCUCACACUUGAGGGCAUUUUUAUUCUUUUCUGUGCAGUCAUUUUGUCCUUUCACUGGAACUUAUCUUCCCUGCUCCUCAAGUCAAGAGUGGUACCAUAAGAAAACCAUGCCUUGUUUCUGCCAGCCCCAGCUCUAAGCAACUCCCACCUGAACCGCUGCAAGAACCUCCCAACCAUCCUCUCCACACCUAGGCAUGCACUUUCUAAUCUAUUUUCUAUACCUCAGCUACAACCACAGCCACAGAACACAGCAGUUAAAGGUGCAGCCUUCAGAAUCACCCCAAGUUCUAGCUAUUUUGCUUCUUUGAGCCUUCCUAUCUGCAAAGUAGGGAUGAUCAUUAGAUUUACCUGGUUCAACGGUUGUGACUGCUAAAUGCAAUAAUGUGCAGGGUACUCAGCAAAGUUUCUACCACAGUGCAAGUGCUCCAUAUAUUUUACCUAUCAUUAUCAUCAUCUUCAACAUCAUUACCAUUGCAGACCCGGUGUGCUUAGAAUUGACCCAGCUUCUCCUGGCAACUGGACAGAGAACAGCAUGAACCAUCAUGGCUUCUUGCACCACACUUCGAAAAAGGAAGUAUUAUUGCUCCAAGAUCCUGCCCAUAAGACCCACACUGGCAUGUCAGUGAGACUGUGACCAUCAUUGUGGGCACCAUCAUAGCUGCAUAACAACAAUUGGCCAUUGGAUGGCACAAUAUGGCACAGAGAGCCACCUCUAGGGAGUCUGAAACCCCAUGUCCAUGAUGGAAGGUGAUUUUGAGAUGUGGGAAGAGCAAGCGGGUAUCAAUGAUGAGAUCUAGAAUAGGGCAGGCAAAACAAUUGCACGAACCCACAAACCUCCACAGUGUCUGUAAUGCGUAGUCCACUUUUGUGGCACUACAUUUUAUCUCAGAGAUACAACUAAUCUCAGUCUCUCCAUCUGCAAAGCUUCCUGAAUCCUUCUUUCCAGGAUGAAUAAAUUUCCCGGCAAAACAAGACCCAGGGGAAAGUUUUGAAUCCAUACAAUAAUAUAUCACUGCAUUUGCCACAAACUCUUGAUUCAACAGAACUGAUUUUGUGCGCUUAGUCCUUGCCCUGGGGAUAGAAUGUGAACAAGAGAGACAAGGGGCCUGCUCUCAUGGUCUUAGCCUUUAGAAAGAGAGAUAAUAAACAGGACCAAUGGCCCCCAAAAAACUUUUAGAGGCAGAGCUCUUAUGACUUUACUGUGCCAGAUGUCAUGCCAAGUCCAGGAACCAUGUCUCAGGGGAGGAAUCUUUUUACUGAAGGGGCAUGAAGAGGGGAAAGAACACUGGCCCUGGGUCCAGCAUUGUGUCAGCUGCUUCACAUCCAGCAUCUAAUGCAGUUGCCCCAUCUAAUGCUCAAGGUGUAAGGCUACCUCAGUUUCCCCAAUUAACAGAUGAGAGGGCCAAAGCUCCAAGUAGUUGGGCAGGUUGCCCAGGAUGGAUGCAUAUGUAGAAGAUGGAACAACCCAGAGUGGUGUGAUUCCAAACCAUGCAUUCUCCAUUGCAUCACAGUGAUCUUUAAGAUCACCAGCAGAGUGGAGUGAGACUUCAGGGUAAGAUCACAUCAAGAUAUCAAGUCCAGACAGGCCAACCCCACACCGUUCACAUGAUCUCUGAAACAACUUUUCAAGAGCAGCAUUGUGAAUUCAACUAGACACUCUUCCAUCAAGCAAGGAUGGAAAACUCCAAAUGACUGCAAGACAAGAGCUCCUAGCAAACACAGAAUUCCAGGGCAGAUUCUUCUUUUGAAGCUUCUGUGAAUGAAAUCUCAUAAUCAGAGCUUCACUGCAGCAGAUAAAUGGGCCAGCGCCUGAGCUCAAAUGCACGGAAGCAAGGAAGGCCCACCCUGCCUGUCUCCCACCUCUCUCAGUGAAACCUUCCCAGGAGGCUGCCAGAAAGGCUUCAGAUGCUUGGGGAAGCAGUCAAAUAUUUCAGCAGCCAAGUCUCUGUCAUCCUCCUGCCUCUCACUGACUCUCAGAUGAUGCCCAUAGUGAAUGGAGCUGUUGAGAAAGCCAGAAAGGAACUGAGGAUGUGACAAAUAGAUUCUUGCAUAAAACAAACAACAAAAAUUUUAUGGGUGCAUUGAACGCCAGGAUUCUCAAAAAUAGAAGUGCCUUGGAUCUCUGUCAACCUCUAAGUGGUCCCAUGGGAGCGUGCCUCUCCUUCUUCCUCUCAAUUGCAUUCCCUAGCAUCUGUCUCCUGUGAGAUAUGCUUCCCAUCUCUGGCAUUCUACUCUACUUCAUCCUGUGUGCGACCUCCCCAGAACUGUGGAAUGGAGUUCCAAGACACAGAGUAGAGACGGGGUUUCACUGUGUUAGCCAGGAUGAGGAUGGUCUCAAUCUCCUGACCUCGUGAUCCACCCACCUCGGCCUCCCAAAGUGCUGGGAUUACAGAUCCGCACUCUGUAUUGGGAAUGAACCACCUACUUCUCCUACUGCUUGGCUUGAUGUUACGACUCUGUGAUCUUCCCC
Long non-coding RNA from Symphalangus syndactylus (siamang), 3009 nucleotides. RefSeq lists it as uncharacterized. The record is from RefSeq and is a predicted model, not a curated record. NCBI's taxonomy places the organism in Eukaryota, Metazoa, Chordata, Mammalia, Primates, Hylobatidae.